GCCCCGCCCGCGCCCCCCUGCUGCAGCCCGCCCGUUCCUCCGGCUGCGGGGACGGGCCCCUUGGGCUCUUCUUAGCUAGUCCAGCGCGCGUCGUCUCCCGGCGGGCCUGCGGUCUCCGGGAAGGCGGGCUCCCCGCCGGCCUAGCGCUCGGGCCGCAGAGAGGCGCGUGUAACCGAGCAGGCCCGGCCUUGACAGCGCCUCCCCCGCGUGUCCGCCAGUUACCGUAAGCAACGACGUCUCCGAGGACGAGGAGGAUGACGAAGAAGCAGCAGAGCUGUGCCCCGUCCUUCCUGCUAAAAAGCAGAGGCCCAGGCCCUAGCCCUCCUCGGUCAGGGAGCCGGCGGGCUCGCGCUCCGCGCCCGGCGUUCCUGGACGAGUCUCAGGAUUGUGACUGUUUCUUCCCCGCGGAGGAGCAGCGUUGUGGGGCAGAGCCUGGGCGGGACGGACUGGGCCCUGCCGGCCCCCGGUGCUCCGGCCCUCCGCCAAGCCCCGCUCCCCGCUCCCCAACUUCUGUGAAUUGGAAGAUGUACCUGAAGCUCAGAACUACACGUUUUUAACACUUUUUACAGUUUUAGAUAAAGUUUGAAAUAAAGUGAUGUGGUUUCUUUUGCAACUCUGUGUGCCUUCUUCCUGUGCCCGGGUGACAUUUCCCUAGGGACCACCAGGUGGCACUGUGGCAGCGUAAAGGGCGGCCCGGACCC
RNAcentral lists this long non-coding RNA (701 nucleotides) under Chinchilla lanigera (long-tailed chinchilla). RNAcentral describes it as "lncRNA (ENSCLAG00000027686.1)". The record is from RNAcentral. Lineage: Eukaryota; Metazoa; Chordata; Mammalia; Rodentia; Chinchillidae.